Molecule: ribosomal RNA, 893 nt
Filed under: Lepidophyma lowei
Lineage: Eukaryota; Metazoa; Chordata; Lepidosauria; Squamata; Xantusiidae
Description: partial 12S ribosomal RNA
Rfam family: Bacterial small subunit ribosomal RNA
Source: RNAcentral
CAUUUUGGUCCUUGACGCGUUAUUGUUUAUAACCUAAAUUACACAUGCAAGCCUCUGCGCGCCAGUGAGAAGCCCAAUAGACUCGCACGAGUAAAGGAGACGGCAUCAGGCACGCCAUGCGCAGCCAAUUACGCCACGCAAACGCCACACCCACAAGGGCCUCAGCAGUGAAUAAUAUUAAAAUAUAAGUGAAAACUUGAUUUAGUUAAGGUUAAAACAGCCGGUAAAUCUCGUGCCAGCCACCGCGGUUAUACGAGAGGCCAAAGACAAUAGCAACCGGCGUAAAGAGUGACUAAAGUGAGACCAAUGUAUUAAGGGGAAAUUAUUUCUAAGCCGUGAAACCCAUAAGAGACAAGAACCGCGCCCGCCCUUAAUAAAAAGAUAGCUUGAAUUCACGAAAGCUGGGGCACAAACUGGGAUUAGAUACCCCACUAUGCUCAACCAUAAACUUAAACGGCCAAAAAUCUUAAGCUGUUCGCCAGGGGACUACAGGCAAAAGCUUAAAACCCAAAGGACUUGGCGGUGCCCAAUACCAUACUAGAGGAGCCUGUCCCAUAAUCGAUAAUCCACGAUGAACCUCACCCCCCUUUGACAAUACAGCCUAUAUACCGCCGUCACCAGCCUACUUCGUGAGAGCACAGUAGUAGGCACAAUAGCACACGCAAGCACGCCAGGUCAAGGUGUAGCUAAUAGGGCGGAGGAGAUGGGCUACAUUUCCCAAAACUGAUAAAUACGGAAGGCCACAUGAAAGCCGAGCCAGAAGGCGGAUUUAGCAGUAAAAUAGACAAGACUAUCUACUUGAAGUGAGCCUAGGGCACGCACACACCGCCCGUCACCCUCCUCAAAGCACCAUAACAUCUAACCUAUACAAACCGCGCAACACAGAUGAGGUA